RNAcentral lists this ribosomal RNA (253 nucleotides) under uncultured prokaryote. Its description in RNAcentral is "partial 16S ribosomal RNA". It matches the Rfam family "Bacterial small subunit ribosomal RNA", at positions 524 to 776 of the family's 1533-position model. The record is from RNAcentral.
UACGGAGGAUCCAAGCGUUAUCCGGAUUUAUUGGGUUUAAAGGGUGCGUAGGCGGCUUUUUAAGUCAGGGGUGAAAGACGGUGGCUCAACCAUCGCAGUGCCCUUGAUACUGAGGAGCUGGAUUAAACUUGAGGUAGGCGGAAUGUGACAAGUAGCGGUGAAAUGCAUAGAUAUGUCACAGAACACCGAUUGCGAAGGCAGCUUACUAAGGUUUUAAUGACGCUGAGGCACGAAAGCGUGGGGAUCAAACAGG